CCUACGGGAGGCAGCAGUGGGGAAUAUUGGGCAAUGGGCGCAAGCCUGACCCAGCAACGCCGCGUGAAUGAAGAAGGCUUUCGGGUUGUAAACUUCUUUUCUCAGGGACGAAGCAAGUGACGGUACCUAACGAAUAAGCCACGGCUAACUGCGGGCCAGCAGCCGCGGUAAUACGUAGGAGGCAAGCGUUAACCGGGUUGACUGGGUGUAAAGGGCGUGUAGGCGGGGACGCAAGUCAGAUGUGAAAACCACGGGCUCAACCUGUGGCCUGCAUUUGAAACUGUGUGUCUUGAGUACUGGAGAGGCAGACGGAAUUCCUAGUGUAGCGGUGAAAUGCGUAGAUAUUAGGAGGAACACCAGUGGCGAAGGCGGUCUGCUGGACGGCAACUGACGCUGAGGCGCGAAAGCGUGGGGAGCAAACAGGAUUAGAUACCCUAGUAGUC
RNAcentral lists this ribosomal RNA (443 nucleotides) under uncultured bacterium. RNAcentral's name for it is "partial 16S ribosomal RNA". It matches the Rfam family "Bacterial small subunit ribosomal RNA", at positions 338 to 795 of the family's 1533-position model. The record is from RNAcentral.